GACGAACGCUGGCGGCGUGCCUAAUACAUGCAAGUCGAACGGAAAGGCCCUGCCUUUGUGCGCUGCUCGAGUUGCGAACGGGUUAGUAACCCGUGAGUAACCUGCCCUUGACCUUGGGAUAACUUUAGGAAACCGGGGCUACUACCUGACAGUAGCUCCUGCUGCAUGGUGGGGGUUGGAAAGAUGCGGCGGUCGGGGUUGGACUCGCGGCUUGUCAGCUUGAUCGUGGGGCAGUGGCUUACCAAGGGUUUGACGGGUAGCCGGUCUGAGAGGGUGACCGGAGACAUUGGGACUGAGAUACGGCGCAGAGUCCUACGGGGGGCAGAAGUGGGGAGUAUUGCAGAAUAGGCGGAAGACUGAGACAGCAACGCCGCGUGCGGGAUGACAGCCUUCGGGUUGUAAACCGCUUUCGCCUGUGACGAGGCGUGAGUGACGGUAAUGGGUAAAGAAGCACCGGCUAACUACGUG
This 468-nucleotide ribosomal RNA is filed under the name uncultured bacterium. RNAcentral describes it as "partial 16S ribosomal RNA". It matches the Rfam family "Bacterial small subunit ribosomal RNA", at positions 28 to 507 of the family's 1533-position model. The record is from RNAcentral.